GACCACGUAGCUCAGUUGGCAGAGCAUUGGGCUAGUAUUCCAAAGGUCGUAGGUUCGAUUCCCACCAUGGCCA
This 73-nucleotide transfer RNA is filed under the name Paramuricea clavata. It matches the Rfam family "tRNA". From Rfam's summary of the family: Transfer RNA (tRNA) molecules are approximately 80 nucleotides in length. Their secondary structure includes four short double-helical elements and three loops (D, anti-codon, and T loops). Lineage: Eukaryota; Metazoa; Cnidaria; Anthozoa; Malacalcyonacea; Plexauridae. The record is from Rfam by way of RNAcentral.